Long non-coding RNA from Pseudophryne corroboree (corroboree frog), 1695 nucleotides. RefSeq lists it as uncharacterized. Lineage: Eukaryota; Metazoa; Chordata; Amphibia; Anura; Myobatrachidae. The transcript is spliced from 4 exons. The record is from RefSeq and is a predicted model, not a curated record.
CGCACUCCGGAGCCGGCACCUGCCACAGUCCCUGCUGUGGUGAAUGGGCAUCGCCACCUGUGCUGGUUCCACUUCUCCCCCAUAUCGCCACAUAAUACAUUUACCCCAUUGUUCGGUGUGUAUGCAUAAUAUGUCGGUACCCACAGUCGCUGGUGACAUUACACAUCUCGUUCUGAUGUUUUCCCAGUAUCCGAAAAUGUCAGGCUGACACAUCGGCUGGGUGCACAUCGCUCAGUGUGCUCCCAGCUGUAGACUUCGCAGGGAUGGCUUACUCCAACAACUGGCACAGCUACCCCUAUUGGAUUCUACUCGACAAGUGGACGUGAUUCUCGGCGUGGAAUGUAGUUUCAGGUUUUGUCCCGACCCAGCAUCUUUGACAAGGGCUAACUUGUUUGCCUAUUGAGUCAAAUAUGAUAUUCUGCCUUGAAUAUCUUCGUGUAUGUUUGAUUUUGGAAGAUGGAACUAAAUCAGCUAUCCAAAAGGGAAAAAAUAAGAGGCAAAGACGCAUAAGGUUCCGGAAGCCACGGAUUUUUCCAAUACGUACAACUGUGUCAAGUCUCCGUGAGGAAAGAGUUGUUAAAAAUGAUUGCUUGUCUCUAUCUAGUAUCUAUAUGCUGUAUUCACUAAUUAAGGCAAAAAUAGAUCCAACUACAAGGCGUUUGCAAGCAGUGCCAGGCUUGACCAAACUUUUAGCUACAUUACACUUUCUGGCCUCCGGAUCCUUUCAGUCCACAGUUGCGGAUGUUGGAGGAAUUACACAAGCCACCUUCUCUCGUUGUUUAACGAAAGUUUUGAAUGCAAUCCUGGAAUGCUCAUCAAUUUAUUAAUUGGCCAAGCAGUCCUGGUGAAUGGUUUGAGACUAAGCAGGCCUUCUACCAAGUAGCCGGAAUCCCUAACGUAUUAGGGGCAGCUGACUGCACACAUAUAGCAUACAUGCCACGAGAAAGCAUGGAGGAGGUUUCCCGUAAUCGGAAAUUGUAUAAUUCAAUGAAUAUGUUGGUAGUAUGUAAUGUUAACUGUAGGAUCAACCCAUGACUCCCAUAUUUAAAAAAGUUCCUCUAUCUACAGUGAUUUUGAAACUUCGAAAGUUUCCGGGGGAUGGUUAAUUGGAGAUGCAGGCUUCCCAGCCAUGCCAUGGCUUCUCACCCCAUUUGCAGUUGCCGAACUGGCGUGUGAGAAAAAAUUUAACCAAGCACGUUUCCACACGCUGUUGCAUUGAGCGUACUUUUGGUUUUUUAAAAAGUCGUUUUAGGUGUUCAAAUAAAAGUGGAGGAACCUUACUGUACAGUCCAGAGAAAGUCUGCAAAAUUUUUAUGGUGUGUUGUAUUUUGCAUAACAUCUGCAUAGAUGAAAGAAUACCCAUACGCAUCAAAAAGCUCAAUAACCCAGAACCAGAACAUACACCUGUCACUGAAGACCACACUUUUGUGACUGCUUAUCAGAUUCGACAGAGAAUAAUAAAUCAAUACUUUGCAUAAUGCAUGUUUGUAUAUUUUAGAGUGCCAAUUUGUCUUUGAACAGUAGUUAAUGUCUUAACAUUGUUACCGUUUCCUUUCCCAAAUUUUGAUUAAAACAAUGCUAGUUUUUUAGGAAAACAAUACUGUUUAUUUGUAGAUAAAUAUAUAUACAUUAAAAAACACAAAUGGUACUUGUUACAAAGUUUUUAUUUCGACAAAUAAAACAAUUGAUAUCCGG